AACGCACCUUGCACUCUUUGGUUAUUCCGAAGAGUAUGCUUGUUUGAGUGUCGCGAAAUUCUCAACCCCGCCAGAGGCUUUAUUGACUUUGGUUGUUUGGGCUUGGAUCGUGGUCAUUUGUCGUGUUACAGCGACUUGACUGAAAUACAACAAGCUGAAUCUGAUGCAUUCAAUGCGGCUUGACCUGAUGUUGUAACUACCUCAUCGGGGACGCGUUGAAAAGAUCUACGGAGCUUUAAAACCCCACGCUAGGUCUUCGGACCCAGUGCAUUAUGACCUCAAAUCAAGUAGGACUACCCGCUGAACUUAA
This 310-nucleotide unclassified non-coding RNA is filed under the name uncultured fungus. RNAcentral describes it as "partial contains 5.8S ribosomal RNA, internal transcribed spacer 2, and large subunit ribosomal RNA". Lineage: Eukaryota; Fungi. The record is from RNAcentral.